This 307-nucleotide ribosomal RNA is filed under the name Amoebophrya sp. RNAcentral's name for it is "SSU rRNA". It matches the Rfam family "Eukaryotic small subunit ribosomal RNA", at positions 595 to 906 of the family's 1831-position model. Lineage: Eukaryota; Dinophyceae; Syndiniales; Amoebophryaceae. The record is from RNAcentral.
UAGCGUAUAUUAAAGUUGUUGCGGUUAAAAAGCUCGUAGUUGGAUUUCUGUUGAGAACAGGCGGUCCACCUUUUGGGUGAGUAUCUGUGUUGGUCUCGGCAUCUUCUUAAGAAACAUUUCUGCGCUUGAUUGCGUGGAGUGGAGCUUAGGACUUUUACUUUGAGGAAAUUAGAGUGUUCACGGCAGGCAUACGCCCUGAAUAUAUUAGCAUGGAAUAAUAUUAUAGGAUCUUGGUUCUAUUUUGUUGGUUUCUAGAGCUAAGAUAAUGAUUAAUAGGGACAAUUGGGGGCAUUCGUAUUAACUGGUC